AUGAAAUCUCUGCUGCUUUUCCUGUCCCUGUUCUCCGCUCCCAGCUGCAUCCUCUCCCAGGUGCAGCUGGUCCCAUCCGGCCCGGGGGCGGUGAAGCCCGGAGAGACCCUCGCACUGACCUGCGUUGUCUCGGGUGUUUCCAUCACUGAGAGCAGCUACGCCUGGGACUGGGUCCGGCAGCCCCCCAGGAAAGGGCUGGAGUGGGUAGCAAGUAUAUACCCACCAGACGGGGGAAAGUGGUUUGCCGCAUCUCUCCAAAGCCGGACCACCAUCUCUUCGGACACCUCCAAGAACCAGUUCUCCCUGCAGCUGGCCUCCCUCACAGCUGCAGACACCGCCAUGUAUUACUGUGUCAGGGAUACACGCACACAGCGACACAAGGCAAAGCGGGCCUGGUAAAAAAGGGGAAGUGGAUUGUCUAGAGUCACUCGGGGCCCUGUCACACUCACGUCUCCAUUAGAAGCAGGGUGAGACACUGGUCACAAGGGGGUUUAGGAGGUGGAAAUCGGGGAAGGAAAAUUCCUCGUCUCCUCACUCAGCUCCUGGUAACACGGACACACAGAGAUCCCAUCUCACAACUCCCCCAGGGGGGAUCAAUCAGACAAGCACCUGCAGGUCUCGUUCCCAUCACUGUGGGGGCAGCAAUCCCAGAGCCCUUCCAGUUACUACAGAAUCCAGCGCUGCAUUUCGCCUUGAGGAGCUGGGGAAUUCCCAGGCCGGACCAAGUCAAGGUCCAUUUAGCCCAAUAUCCUGUCUCUAGCCGGGAGACUAGCCGGGGCUGCUUCACAUAAGAACCCCGCAGCUGAGGAUGUGAGAGAAUCCACCCUCCACAUCAGGUCUCGCCCUGGUCUCCAACAGAGAUUGGGUUAAACUAGCGACACCCAGACUGUGGGGAUCCAGCCGCGAGUGGCUCCUUAAUGCAGGGGUCAGCAACCUUUCAGAAGCGGU
Molecule: non-coding RNA, 948 nt
Organism: Malaclemys terrapin pileata
Lineage: Eukaryota; Metazoa; Chordata; Testudines; Emydidae
Source: the annotation of a RefSeq genome assembly